CUAAGGAGCACUUCUCCACGACGCUUCACACAGGUGAAUGUGGUUGUGGCAGAGACCGUUUAGUUCCCAAUCGUGGAACUGCGGAAGCUCAUGGGUGGAACGCUGACAACCUCUCCCGCGUAUCGGUUGGUCCUCAGUGGCCGGCUGGUGGGUGAUGUAUCGACACACUGUUGGGUCCUGAAAGAACAGACGUUCUUUCCAGGCAAAAAAGACGACGAGGCUGAUCUUCAGUCAUACCGGCUUCUUCCCUUUGGGGCUGGGGUGCUGGUACUGAGUUCGAGGUUGGUCUUGUGUGUUGUUUGAGAACUGCACAGUGGACGCGAGCAUCUUUGUUAGUAAGUGCGUAAGAGCGUAC
Molecule: unclassified non-coding RNA, 355 nt
Filed under: Nocardia cyriacigeorgica
Lineage: Bacteria; Bacillati; Actinomycetota; Actinomycetes; Mycobacteriales; Nocardiaceae
Description: 16S-23S ribosomal RNA intergenic spacer
Source: RNAcentral